This 370-nucleotide ribosomal RNA is filed under the name uncultured organism. RNAcentral describes it as "bacterial SSU rRNA". It matches the Rfam family "Bacterial small subunit ribosomal RNA", at positions 526 to 896 of the family's 1533-position model. The record is from RNAcentral.
CGUAGGGUGCAAGCGUUAAUCGGAAUUACUGGGCGUAAAGCGUGCGCAGGCGGUUAUGCAAGACAGAGGUGAAAUCCCCGGGCUCAACCUGGGAACUGCCUUUGUGACUGCAUAGCUAGAGUACGGUAGAGGGGGAUGGAAUUCCGCGUGUAGCAGUGAAAUGCGUAGAUAUGCGGAGGAACACCGAUGGCGAAGGCAAUCCCCUGGACCUGUACUGACGCUCAUGCACAAAAGCGUGGGGAGCAAACAGGAUUAGAUACCCUGGUAGUCCACGCCCUAAACGAUGUCAACUGGUUGUUGGGAGGGUUUCUUCUCAGUAACGUAGCUAACGCGUGAAGUUGACCGCCUGGGGAGUACGGCCGCAAGGUUG